CAUUGAUGCAAAAAGAUGCUGCAUGGAAUGACAAUGUGGUUUGGAACAGACUUGGUGAAGAACAUGGAAAUCUCUUAAUAAAAUGGCCCCAAACAUCAUCAGGAGUGCAAAAGAAGGAAGUAAAAACAUCUCUACGCCAAUCUCAUUGGAGAGGAAACCACAGAAGGUCUGGUGAGGAAUGCUGCACUUAUGUUAUUGCAAGCAUUAUUUCAAGAAAAUCCCAGCUUCCUUUACUGUGUAAAUAGUGAACCCAAAGGUCCCACACCAACCAUAGUGUUCAACGGCUCUCCUGAUCUUCUCAAAUCUGAAAGUAUCAACUGUAUAAUGGACAAUGUGAACUUAAUAUGUGGAAGACAUUGACAUCACAGGCUGUGGAAUGACUGUGUCACAGGUCGGAGAAGCGGACCGCCCCUGUCGCGGAUCACGCUCCUCCUAGUUCCACCUUGAGGAGGUCCCAAAGCACCCCAAUGACCAGACAAACCAGAGAUAAGUAAAAUAUAAAAAUAGAAACUUUAUUUAAAUUAUUUAAAACUAAAGUGGGGAAUGGGAAAUGGAAAUCUAAAAAUCUCGCUUCUUGCCCUCAGGGGGAGUAUUACGGGGCCAGGGACGUUGGAGGGGUUUCCACGUGACUCCACCUCGAACACCGCUACAGAGCGUAUCUGGCUGGGUUGGGCACACACCGUCGCGGCGGCCCCUGAUGGCAUCCACAAAGGUCCAAGACCCUCCUAAGCUCCCAGCCGUAGCAGAACUACGUAUUUCAGCACCCGAACGACUAACAACCCAGCCGGCAUCUGCAGCGUAUAUCCAACGCGAUCAAACUUCACUCUGACAAGUAACUUCCUAUACACAACCAAGCCGUCCUUUCGCCCGAACCAGCCCCGCACUCUUUCCGCCCGCUACCUAGCGGUCGCCGGAUCAGCACAGCCUGCGGACUCUUCGGAGGCUGGUCUUCGUUGUGCUGCCCAAGGCGGAAGUUGACUCGCCCGAAAAUCGGCCCUUCCAGUAACUUCUACCUUCUCUCUUUAUAUCCUCCUCCAUGGCGUGGCUCGCCCAACCAUCGCUCGCCACGUCACUCACACAGCUGUGCCUUGUUUCAGCGAGUGCGGGGAUUCCCGGGGAACCCGUAAGUGCCGGUGUCUGUACAAACCGGUCCGGGCGGAACCUCUUCACUCUCCUUUUGGUUCCGCCCCGCAUAGUCACUCCGUGACAACUGUUUGCAUUUUUUUUCUCCUCAAUGUUCAAUACCCUUUUGCCAUUAAGCACACAGUGACUUUAAUUUAUAAAAUAUAUGCUUAAGUUUUAAUACCUGUACAAAACAAAUGUACAAUCAACUUGUGUAAAUUGUCAUUCUAUUUAAUAGAUUGUUCAUGAAUUGUCUUUAAAUGCAUUGUGAUUUCGGUAACACUUUACAAUAAAGUUCAUUAGUUAACAUUAGUUAAUGUAUUAACUAACUUGAACAAACCAUAAGCAAUACAUUUGUUACAGUAUUUAUUCAUCUUUGUUAAUGUUAGUUAAUAAAAAUUUAAGCUUUAAUUGCUUGUUCAUGUUAGUUCAGAGUGCAUUAACUAAUGUUAACAAGAUUUUAAUAAAGUAAUUGUUAAAAUUAACAUUAACAAAGAUUAAUAAAGGCUGUAUAAGUGCAGUUCAUUAUUAGUUCAUGUUAACCAAUGUCUAACUAAUGUUAACUAAUGAACCUUAUUGUAAAGUGUUACCGUGAUUUCUUUUCAUCAUUUCAGACACAUGUAAAAGUUACUAAAAAUUAGUACUGCAUAUACUGUACAGUAUCUAUGCGUGAGGGAAAUAACUUGAACAAAAUUUUUAAUGUAUAGUGUAAUUAAGAGUUUAGCUGUUUAAUACAGAGAUGAAAUAUUAUUUAUAUAUAAACAUAUGUAUGUUUAUUAAAAAGUGAAAAUGCUUAAUGAAAAUAAUUAAAUAACUAAAUGGUUGAAUGUAAUGAGACAUUUUAAAUGUAAACUAAAGUUUUGCUGUCUAAUACAGAAUAAAGAGAUGUGAUUUUAAGUAAUUUUUAUAGAUUUAUAUUUCUGUAUAAUACAAUUAAUAAAUAGUAAACUUUUAUAAUUUUCUAGAUCGGUUAUAAUUUCUUAUCAAUAAUAAAUUACUCAUAAUAAUAAAGAACCUUUAAUGGUUCUAAAUAGAACCAUCUAACUUUGAUUCAAAGAACCAUUUGGGGUUCUUUUUAAUGAACCCAUUAAAGUGGUUCUAUAUUGAACCAUUUGGGGGUUCCAUAUAUGAAGCGGGUGAUAGAACCAUUUCUGGUUCGAUAUAGAACCAUUUUUUUUAAG
This is a non-coding RNA of Misgurnus anguillicaudatus (oriental weatherfish), 2303 nucleotides long. NCBI's taxonomy places the organism in Eukaryota, Metazoa, Chordata, Actinopteri, Cypriniformes, Cobitidae. The record is from RefSeq and is a predicted model, not a curated record.